Molecule: ribosomal RNA, 490 nt
Filed under: Hemimarginula sp. MNHN IM 2013-17277
Lineage: Eukaryota; Metazoa; Mollusca; Gastropoda; Lepetellida; Fissurellidae
Description: partial large subunit ribosomal RNA
Rfam family: Eukaryotic large subunit ribosomal RNA
Source: RNAcentral
CCAAGGAGUCUGAGACGUGCGCGAGUCACUGGGCUUUUACGAACCCCAAAGGCGCAACGAAAGUGAAAGGCCCGAUCCUCGCGCUGUCUGAAAGCCGGGGCGCAGGGCCGACCUGCCCGUUCUCUGUGGGUGGAGUUUGAGCGCACGUCUCGGGACCCGAAAGAUGGUGAUCUAUGCCUGAGGUGGAUGAAGCCAGAGGAAACUCUGGUGGAGGUCCUAAGCGAUUCUGACGUGCAAAUCGAUCGUGUCACUUGGGCAUAGGGGCGAAAGACCAAUCGAACCAUCUAGUAGCUGGUUCCCUCCGAAGUUUCCCUCAGGAUAGCUGGCGCUCGCCAUACGCAGUUUCAUCCGGUAAAGCGAAUGAUUAGAGGUCAUGGGGACGAAACGUCCUCGUCCUAUUCUCAAACUAUAAAUCGGGUGAGAUCCCCGGCCUCUCCCUUGGCAACGGGGAGCCGGGUGUAGAAUGCGAGUGCUUAGUGGGCCAUUUUUG